Hyaena hyaena (striped hyena) is the source of this 215-nucleotide small nucleolar RNA. RefSeq annotates it as small nucleolar RNA U3. The transcript has a single exon. NCBI's taxonomy places the organism in Eukaryota, Metazoa, Chordata, Mammalia, Carnivora, Hyaenidae. The record is from RefSeq and is a predicted model, not a curated record.
AUGCUGUUUUCAGGGGUCAUUUCUAUCCUCUGCCCCUGACAAUUGCAGUUUCUCUGAAUGUCUAGAACCCCAGAACACAAGACAGGCAGGAGGCAGCCUUCCCUCCUCAAUGGGAAACCAGCCUUUGGUGUUGCUUCCGCAUCUGCCACUUGCCAUUGAUAAUUGUCUUUCUCUUCCUUUGGGAGAGCAGGAGAGAGGGGAUGGCACUGAGUGGU